UAACAAGGUCUCCGUUGGUGAACCAGCGGAGGGAUCAUUACCGAGUUUACAACUCCCAAACCCCUGUGAACAUACCUUAAUGUUGCCUCGGCGGAUCAGCCCGCGCCCCGUAAAACGGGACGGCCCGCCAGAGGACCCAAACUCUAAUGUUUCUUAUUGUAACUUCUGAGUAAAACAAACAAAUAAAUCAAAACUUUCAACAACGGAUCUCUUGGUUCUGGCAUCGAUGAAGAACGCAGCAAAAUGCGAUAAGUAAUGUGAAUUGCAGAAUUCAGUGAAUCAUCGAAUCUUUGAACGCACAUUGCGCCCGCUGGUAUUCCGGCGGGCAUGCCUGUUCGAGCGUCAUUUCAACCCUCAAACCCCCGGGUUUGGUGUUGGGGAUCGGAUUUUUGUAAAAGAAUCCGCCCCCUAAAUCUAUUGGCGGUCUCGCUGCAGCCUCCAUUGCGUAGUAGCUAACACCUCGCAACUGGAACGCGGCGCGGCCAAGCCGUAAAACCCCAACUUCUGAAUGUUGACCUCGGAUCAGGUAGGAAUACCCGCUGAACUUAAGCAUAUAAAAGAGCAAAAGAAACCAACAGGGAUUGCCCUAGUAACGGCGAGUGAAGCGGCAACAGCUCAAAUUUGAAAUCUGGCUUUCGGGCCCGAGUUGUAAUUUGUAGAGGAUACUUUUGAUGCGGUGCCUUCCGAGUUCCCUGGAACGGGACGCCAUAGAGGGUGAGAGCCCCGUCUGGUUGGAUGCCAAAUCUCUGUAAAGUUCCUUCGACGAGUCGAGUAGUUUGGGAAUGCUGCUCUAAAUGGGAGGUAUAUGUCUUCUAAAGCUAAAUAUUGGCCAGAGACCGAUAGCGCACAAGUAGAGUGAUCGAAAGAUGAAAAGCACUUUGAAAAGAGAGUUAAAAAGUACGUGAAAUUGUUGAAAGGGAAGCGUUUAUGACCAGACUUGGGCUUGGAUAAUCAUCUGGGGUUCUCCCCAGUGCACUUUUCCAGCUCAGGCCAGCAUCAGUUUUCGCCGGGGGAUAAAGGCAGCAGGAAUGUGGCUCUCUCCGGGGAGUGUUAUAGCCUGCUGUGUAAUACCCUGGUGGGGACUGAGGUUCGCGCAUCUGCAAGGAUGCUGGCGUAAGACGCCAUAAACGACCCGUCUUAACCCGGCGCAAA
Molecule: ribosomal RNA, 1152 nt
Filed under: Fusarium sp. CHTAM5
Lineage: Eukaryota; Fungi; Ascomycota; Sordariomycetes; Hypocreales; Nectriaceae
Description: eukaryotic LSU rRNA
Rfam family: Eukaryotic large subunit ribosomal RNA (bases 513-1152)
Source: RNAcentral